AACCUUUACACUGCACGACAGUGCGAUACGGGGACACCGAGUGCGAGGGCAUAGAGCCCUCGCUUUUCUGAACCCUAAGGUGGUCCAGGAACAAGGGCUGGGCAAGACCGGUGCCAGCCGCCGCGGUAACACCGGCAGCCCAAGUGAUGGCCGAUUUUAUUGGGCCUAAAGCGUCCGUAGCUGGCCGCGCAAGUUCGUCGGGAAAUCCACGCGCUUAACGUGUGGGCGUCCGGCGAAAACUGUGCGGCUUGGGACCGGAAGAUCCGAGGGGUACGUCCGGGGUAGGAGUGAAAUCCCGUAAUCCUGGACGGACCACCGAUGGCGAAAGCACCUCGGAAGGACGGAUCCGACAGUGAGGGACGAAAGCUAGGGUCUCGAACCGGAUUAGAUACCCGGGUAGUCCUAGCCGUAAACGAUGCUCGCUAGGUGUGGCGCAGGCUACGAGCCUGCGCUGUGCCGUAGGGAAGCCGUGAAGCGAGCCGCCUGGGAAGUACGUCUGCAAGGAUGAAACUUAA
RNAcentral lists this ribosomal RNA (515 nucleotides) under uncultured archaeon. RNAcentral describes it as "bacterial SSU rRNA". It matches the Rfam family "Archaeal small subunit ribosomal RNA", at positions 345 to 859 of the family's 1478-position model. The record is from RNAcentral.